UGGCGUGGGGGCACCCUGACCGCAAUGCCGCGUGAGUGAAGAAGGCCUUCGGGUUGUAAAGCUCUUUUGUCAGGGAAGAAACACCGGCUCUAACACAGUCCGGGAAUGACGGUACCUGAAGAAUAAGCACCGGCUAACUACGUGCCAGCAGCCGCGGUAAUACGUAGGGUGCAAGCGUUAAUCGGAAUUACUGGGCGUAAAGCGUGCGCAGGCGGUUAUACAAGACAGGCGUGAAAUCCCCGGGCUUAACCUGGGAGUGGCGCCUGUGACUGUAUAGCUAGAGUGUGUCAGAGGGGGGUAGAAUUCCACGUGUAGCAGUGAAAUGCGUAGAUAUGUGGAGGAAUACCAAUGGCGAAGGCAGCCCCCUGGGAUAACACUGACGCUCAUGCACGAAA
RNAcentral lists this ribosomal RNA (395 nucleotides) under uncultured bacterium. Its description in RNAcentral is "bacterial SSU rRNA". It matches the Rfam family "Bacterial small subunit ribosomal RNA", at positions 359 to 758 of the family's 1533-position model. The record is from RNAcentral.